RNAcentral lists this long non-coding RNA (645 nucleotides) under Sus scrofa (pig). RNAcentral describes it as "lncRNA (ENSSSCG00015044530.1)". The record is from RNAcentral. Lineage: Eukaryota; Metazoa; Chordata; Mammalia; Artiodactyla; Suidae.
GCAUUUUGCAGACUUCAUCGGAGGCUGGCUGAAACCUGUAUGAAACGUCUGAUGGAGAAGGAGCAGAACAGAUCUUUACUCCAAACAUUUACUACAAGUCCUGUCCUGGAGCCACCUGGUGCUGAAAAUAUUCAUAAUAGCUCCGUGUUCAGAAGAAAUCUUACAACAAGAGAAACCUUAACACUUUCUACCUCAUGUUCAGGCACUUCAUUUGACAGCAUUGUGACUGCUUUGAUGAAGAGUCAGUGGGAGAUGGAAGAAAAUAUGAAUAAAGAACUAGCAGAAGCCACUGCCGAACUUGAUUUUGUAUACCUGAGAGCCUCUCUACUGAGAUCUACCAAAGACCUUUUGAAAACAUCACACAGCCAUAUGUACAGAUUCUGAAGAAAACUUAUAUUGUCUGAAAAAUAAAGAGUAAAACUAUCUACUGGACAGUUAACAUAAUGUCUUUGUUGGUUCCUAUUAAACAUGUUGUAGAAAUCCUUAUUGAAGGAAAUAUUGUUGUAUCAUAUGUGUAAGAGAAUUUAUAUAGUAUUUUCAAUCAUUUUUCUUUGUAUCUAACUUUUAAGUAGAUUUCGUGAAUACAAGCCAGCCCUAUUGAGUUUUUCAUUCUCCAACUGAGGCCAGAUACCAGUUAUUUAAUGA